GGCGAACUCGGUCAGCUCGUACCCACUGGAACUUGCGUCGUCGUCGACGGCCACCUCAAGCUUCCUCCCGCCGGCACUAAACAGAAGAUCGAACUUCGCGCCUAUAAGGUCCUCCACGUCGGCCCAGUCGAUCCCGCCAAAUAUCCUCUGCCCAAAAUGAGACUCACUCUUGAGUUCCUCAGAGAUUUCGUUCAUCUUCGUUCAAGAACCAACACGGUACCUUCCUUCUUUUUUUGUCAUAAACUGUUAUUCUAAAAGUGUUAAUGAAUUUAGUUAUUAUGGCAUAAUCUUACUCUAUCAAGAAGUUUUAUAGUGUUAUCGUGAUUUUGUGACAUAACACGGAUUCUGACUGUAUGAGGGCAAAAACCUUUACUUAGUAUCUCGGUUUGGGAAAUUGUGGACGGAUAUUGUGAGAAAUUGAAGAAAAAAGAGAUCUCAAUUGUUAUAGAUAACCUUAAUUGAUUUGGUUGUUAUUACUUUUCGUAGUUAUACUUAUGUUGUGUUGUGUGUGAUUGCAGAUAUCUGCGGUGGCUAGAAUUAGAAAUGCUCUUGCAUAUGCUACGCAUACUUUUUUCAACAAAGAAGGGUUUCUUUACGUGCACACACCGAUUGUUACGACGAGUGACUGUGAGGGUGCGGGUGAGAUGUUUCAGGUGACGACUUUGCUGAGUGAGGCUGAGAGAUUGGAGAAGGAGUUGUUGCAGAAUCCGCCUCCUACGGAGGCAGAUGUGGAAGCGGCUAGGUUGGUUGUUAAGGAGAAAGGGGAUGUUGUGUCUCAGUUGAAAGCUGCCAAGGCGACUAAGCCAGAGAUUGGUGCUGCUGUGGAUCAGCUUAAGAAGGCGAAGGAGAGUUUGGCUAAGGUGGAGGAGAGGUCCAAGCUUAAGCCUGGGAUUCCUAAGAAGGAUGAUGGAAAGGUGGAUUAUGGGAAAGAUUUCUUUGCACGUCAAGCUUUUUUGACGGUUUCAGGUCAGCUUCAAGUUGAGUCUUAUGUGUGUGCACUUAGCAGUGUGUAUACCUUUGGCCCCACUUUUCGCGCGGAGAAUUCUCACACUUCCAGGCAUUUGGCUGAGUUUUGGAUGGUAGAACCUGAGAUAGCGUUUGCAGAGUUGAAGGUAUAUAAAAAUUUGAACUCAUUCAUAAGCUGAACUGUUUAAUUUGUCCAGUGCAAAGCUGCCUACUCUACAUGCUUUUAUAAGAUUUGAUGUUUUUAAUUUUUUGUGCUGGAAGCAGUAAAGUCCAUGGUUUUUGUGUUUUAUGUGUAGGAUGAUAUGAAUUGUGCCGAGGCGUAUGUGAAAUUUUUGUGUCAGUGGUUACUUGACAACUGCCUUGAGGAUAUGGAGUUUAUGGCUGAUAAGUUUGAUAAAGGUUGCAUUGAUCGUUUGAAGUUGGUUGCUUCCACCCCCUUUAUUCGAGUUUCGUAUACAGAAGCAGUGGAAAUACUAGAAGACGCUGUGAAGAAUGGUAAAAAAUUUGAGAAUGAAGUGAAAUGGGGUAUUGACUUAGCAUCUGAGCAUGAAAGGUACUUUGUAAUCUCUUUUUGGCCUUUUGGUCCAGCUCUUGUUCUUAUUAAUUUGUGUUGUGUGACAUCUUGAUGGAAUGGUGUUAUGCAGAUUCCUGACAGAGGUAAAAUUUCAGAAGCCAGUCAUUGUCUAUAACUACCCAAAAGAAAUCAAAGCAUUCUACAUGCGGCUCAAUGAUGACUUAAAAACAGUGGCUGCUAUGGAUGUGCUUGUACCAAAGGUGGCGUUCUGUGUUUUAUUUUGAACAUGUUUAUGGUGGAUAGCUAUAUUGAUGGUUUUUUGGCAUAAUAGAAGCAUGUAUUUAAGUAAAUGCAAUUUUUCAGGUGGGAGAGCUAAUUGGUGGAAGCCAAAGAGAAGAGCGUUAUGAUGUUAUUCAGUCAAGGUUCAUAUAUAUAUAUAUAUAUAUAUAUAUAUAUAUAUAUAAUAUGUUUACUGUUUUCCUGAUUUCUUUCCUUUGGUUAAUUGAUAUCAUUGGAAGUUAUUUGACUUAUAUUUUUAUGUUGCAGAAUAAAGGAAAUGGGUUUGCCUCUUGAGCCAUACGAGUGGUACCUUGAUCUGAGGCGGUAUGGAACAGUGAAACAUGCGGGAUUUGGGCUUGGCUUUGAAAGAAUGAUUCUCUUUGCAACGGGCCUGGAAAAUAUUAGAGAUGUGAUCCCCUUUCCACGAUAUCCUGGCAGAGCAGAUCUAUGAUCUUU
RNAcentral lists this long non-coding RNA (2215 nucleotides) under Vigna radiata. Its description in RNAcentral is "long non-coding RNA (VRAD_LNC007611)". The record is from RNAcentral. Lineage: Eukaryota; Viridiplantae; Streptophyta; Magnoliopsida; Fabales; Fabaceae.